RNAcentral lists this long non-coding RNA (934 nucleotides) under Nicotiana tabacum (common tobacco). RNAcentral's name for it is "long non-coding RNA (NTAB_LNC018285)". Lineage: Eukaryota; Viridiplantae; Streptophyta; Magnoliopsida; Solanales; Solanaceae. The record is from RNAcentral.
AUUUAUUUGUUUUUGGCUUUUUAGCAAAAGGUGGGGUUGGGCCCGAUGAGGGUUGCCUACGUAUCUCACAUCCGGUGAGAAUCAAACCCGCGUAGUUCGGGUAAAAGAACUACUUUAAAAGAAGAAAUGAAGUAUAUUUUUUGGAUUUUUGAUUGAUCUUUUUUUUGAAAGAAAUACUUCUAAGAUAUAUUUUUGAAUUUCAUUUGCUUUUUUCUUUUAUUCUAAAGAAGAAAAAUAUAUUUUUUGGAAUUUUACCUUUAAUAAAAGAAACGCUCUAAAAUGUUUUUUUUUUGAAUCUUGAAUUUUCUUUUCAAUUUUUGAAAGAAGAAUCAAAAUAUUUUCGGAUUUUUAUAUAAAUAUAUAUAUAUAUAUAUAUAUAUAUAUAUAUAUAUAUAUAUAUAUAUAUAUAUAUAUAUAUNUUACCUUUAAUAAAAGAAACGCUCUAAAAUGUGUUUUUUUUUUAAUUUUGAAUUCCCUGUCAAUUUUGAAAGAAGGAUCAAAAUAUUCUCGGAUUUUUUUUAUUUUAUAUUAUUAUUUUAUUUUGUUUAUUUAGUUUUUUUUUUUUUAAAAAAAACAAUUGAAAAAAAAAACUUUCUAAAGAAGUCAAUAAUGGAAAAUAUUUUUGGAUUAUUUGUUUUGAGAAUUGGGAUUCUAAAAACUUUUGGCAAGACAAUUGUUCUUGCAACAGAUAAAGAUAUAUAUAAAUUUUUUGGAAAAUAAGAAAAACUUUUUGGAUUUUUUUAUAUAUAUAUAUACUUGCGACAGAUAAUGAAAGACUCCUUUUAUUUUUUCUUUUAUAUGUUUUUUUUGCAUUUUCAUAAGCAAAUAAAUAAUACACAAAAACCAUUUUUUUUAUUUCUUAAAAUAAGACUCUUUUUCAUUUUCUUUUUAAUGGCAAGACAAACUAUAUAUCUUUUCUCCCUUUUUUUUUUUU